Long non-coding RNA from Brassica napus (rape), 900 nucleotides. RefSeq lists it as uncharacterized. The record is from RefSeq and is a predicted model, not a curated record. Lineage: Eukaryota; Viridiplantae; Streptophyta; Magnoliopsida; Brassicales; Brassicaceae. The transcript has 2 exons.
GAAAAGCAGUUUGAUGGCCGUGUGAAGAGUUUGCACCCAAACAUACACUGUGGUAUCCUCGCUAGAAGAGAUGUGGAGCAUCAUAUGGAAGCUCUUAAUGAGCAUGGCAUUGGUACAUUUGAUGGAAAUUUAUUGUGGAACCGAACUCUUCCUCAUCCAUCUCCAAUAAGACCUGAAAGAUUGGAUGUUUCAGAUAAUCCAACGGCAAAACAAAACCCUGCCUUCUCUGGUGUACACAGAGAAGUGUCCUUUCUUACACUGCCUCCACUUCUCCAUCAUAUUGGUGAGUUAAGACUCUUGCAAGAUCCUUUCUUCAUAUGUUCCGACUCUGAUGUCUCUGCUCUUUGAUCGUUACCAACAUAAUACCAUUGUGUAUACUAUUUGUUAGAUUGUUACUGUCUGAAGCUAUACCUUCCUCUCUCUCCAUGUAUAUAUACUACGAAACGUGCUUAGUGUUUGUGAAAAUAUCUCGAACAAUAAAUUUGAUUCUUAAAUAACUAAUAAAAGGAAUAUGAAUUUAAAAAAAAAAAAAUUCAAUAACAUAAAAAUAAUUCUGAAAAUGAGAAUUUAUUUUACAAUAACAAAUACUCUGCAUGAAACACAAGAAAUACGAGAAACUAAAAAAAUAUUAUAAAAAUGGAAUAAGUCACAUAAUUUUAAAAGAUUUUUAACAAUUAAUUGAGAAAAAUAUAAUAAAAUAGAACUAAGAGAAUUAAUUAUAAAAAUAAAUGAAAAUUGUAUUUAUAUAAUAACACAUUAAAGAAAUCAUAUGCAAAUAAAUGUAGUAACUUCAUGAAUUUCAAAGAGAGUUUCAAUACAACUAAUUUAAUAGUGAUAUGAAAAUAUUUUUUUUGUAAUUAUAAAUUUUAAAUUGAAACGUAAUAAAAACGAUAAGGUAUA